AAUAUACAUUAAAUAACCAUCUAGGUGUCUUUGUUUUUAAAGUAAAUCUGUGUUCAUAUAGGAAAGAAAAAUGUUUUGUGAAAUCAGGAGAAAGACAUGUGGAAUAAAGGAAGAAAAAAGUGAAAGCAUGAGUGAGAGUGAAAAUAAGAAUGAAAGGUAAUGUGCAGGUGAAAGUCAUUAGAAGCAGAAAGAAGAGAAACUGUGACCACUUUUUCUUGUGUCCCACCACUUGGAAAGGGAGGCCUUUCUUGAUUAUUGCCAAGUUCUCAAUGAUGCUCUGAACCGCUGAAUUUGCAAGAUAAGUGACCUUCAGAUAAAUGACAUGUUAUUGCUUUAUUUUCUCUUCACCAGGACACUUGAGACAUGAUUACCAUGAGCGAAAGACCUCUGAGCUUCCUCUCUGGGCCAUGUGACAGCAAGAAGGCAGCCCACUGCAUACCAGGAAGAGGUCUAUCACCAGGAACCAAAUCUACCAGCACCUUGACCACUUCUCAGCACUUCUCAGCCUCCAGAAAUGUGGAAAAAUAUAUUUCUGUUGUUUAAGCCAUCUGGUCUGUGGUAUUUUUUAAAAAU
This 573-nucleotide long non-coding RNA is filed under the name Mustela putorius furo (domestic ferret). RNAcentral describes it as "lncRNA (ENSMPUG00000030069.1)". Lineage: Eukaryota; Metazoa; Chordata; Mammalia; Carnivora; Mustelidae. The record is from RNAcentral.